This 337-nucleotide ribosomal RNA is filed under the name Paratylenchus cf. neoamblicephalus. RNAcentral describes it as "SSU rRNA". It matches the Rfam family "Eukaryotic small subunit ribosomal RNA", at positions 601 to 945 of the family's 1831-position model. The record is from RNAcentral. Lineage: Eukaryota; Metazoa; Nematoda; Chromadorea; Rhabditida; Tylenchulidae.
AUAGAACCAUUGCUGCGGUUAAAAAGCUCGUAGUUGGAUCUGUGCCGGCGACGUGGUCCGCCUUCGCGGGCGGUACUGCGCUCGUCGGCUUUGGGCCGGUCUUCGGACGGUGGCCUUCACUGGCUGCCGCUCGUGGCUGGCUGGUUUACUUUGAGCAAAUCAGAGUGCUCAGCACAGGCGUCUCGCCGGAAUGUUCGUGCAUGGAAUAAUAGAAAAGGAUUUCGGUCCUCUUUUAUUGGUUUUGUGGACUGAGAUAAUGGUUAACAGAGACGGACGGGGGCAUUCGUAUUGCUGCGUGAGAGGUGAAAUUCUUGGACCGCAGCAGGACGGACUACAG